GAUGAACGCUAGCGGGAGGCCUAACACAUGCAAGCCGAGCGGUAGAGUCUCUUCGGAGACUUGAGAGCGGCGCACGGGUGCGGAACACGUGUGCAACCUGCCAUUAUCUGGGGGAUAGCCUUUCGAAGGGAAGAUUAAUACCCCAUAAUAUACUGGAUGGCAUCAUCUGGUAUUGAAAACUCCGGUGGAUAGAGAUGGGCACGCGCAAGAUUAGAUAGUUGGUGAGGUAACGGCUCACCAAGUCAGCGAUCUUUAGGGGGCCUGAGAGGGUGAUCCCCCACACUGGUACUGAGACACGGACCAGACUCCUACGGGAGGCAGCAGUGAGGAAUAUUGGACAAUGGGUGAGAGCCUGAUCCAGCCAUCCCGCGUGAAGGACGACGGCCCUAUGGGUUGUAAACUUCUUUUGUAUAGGGAUAAACCUAGAUACGUGUAUCUAGCUGAAGGUACUAUACGAAUAAGCACCGGCUAACUCCGUG
This 479-nucleotide ribosomal RNA is filed under the name uncultured bacterium. Its description in RNAcentral is "partial 16S ribosomal RNA". It matches the Rfam family "Bacterial small subunit ribosomal RNA", at positions 28 to 507 of the family's 1533-position model. The record is from RNAcentral.